Long non-coding RNA from Ceratitis capitata (Mediterranean fruit fly), 797 nucleotides. RefSeq lists it as uncharacterized. Lineage: Eukaryota; Metazoa; Arthropoda; Insecta; Diptera; Tephritidae. The record is from RefSeq and is a predicted model, not a curated record. The transcript has 2 exons.
UAUGGUGCAAAAACCUAUUUACUGUUGCACUGUUCACCUGCUCGAAAUUUCGUUCUAAACUUCUGAUCUUUAAAAAAAUUUGGAAACUAGAAUAAGAAAUUUUAGUUUUAUUUGUCAAAGUUUCUUAAGCCCUUCAAUUAUUACAAAACUUUGUAUUGAUUUGAAAAAGUGCAUAGAAAAGUUAAAGGAUUUUAACCUUUAGAAAAGAAAGAGAAAUAAAGCUAUUUCAACUUUGCUGGAAGUACUCAAAUAGAUCAUCCUGUUCAAAAUUUGAUAUUCAAGGUUUGUCAAAAACAUCAAAAGAUUAGUAAAUCAAUGAGCAAGAAGUAAACAAAAUCGACCACGUAGCCGACCUCAGUAGGAAAGUUUCUGGCCAAAAAAGAAAAGAGAUGACAGAACUGGAACUGGAAUGUGCACCGCAAUCUAUUAGUUAUCAAUCUACAAUUGAGACAAACCUUCAAGCUUUCGGAAAAUAGAGCGCUCGGAUGGCUACAGAAAACCAAAUUCAAAACAUCAGGAAAGCUGUGAAUAAGAUAUUUGCAAGGAAGCAACUGAUAAUGUCCCCCGCCUGGCAGCAGAAUGGGAAUGUCACCGAGGUAUACCUUAAUCGUCUGCAAGUCCAUCAAAAAUAUACGCGAGGGUAGCGAGGAAAAAAUUACACUCACAUUUUGCUCUGGUGGUCUCGAACGAACUGCAGCCAGCCAGUGUAAUCGUACGGAUUUGAAGAGACUAUACAGAAAACAUCUGUAAGCAAAGAGCAAAGUUUAAAAAUACCAUGGAACCAUACAUGGAACGUU